Molecule: ribosomal RNA, 520 nt
Filed under: uncultured Glomus
Lineage: Eukaryota; Fungi; Glomeromycota; Glomeromycetes; Glomerales; Glomeraceae
Description: SSU rRNA
Rfam family: Eukaryotic small subunit ribosomal RNA
Source: RNAcentral
AGCAGCCGCGGUAAUUCCAGCUCCAAUAGCGUAUAUUAAAGUUGUUGCAGUUAAAAAGCUCGUAGUUGAAUUUCGGGGUUAGUAGGUUGGUCAUGCCUCUGGUAUGUACUGGUCUCACUGAUUCCUCCUUCCUGAUGAACCGUAAUGCCAUUAAUUUGGUGUUGCGAGGAAUUUGGACUGUUACUUUGAAAAAAUUUAGAGUGCUUAAAGCAAGCUAACGCUUGAAUACAUUAGCAUGGAAUAAUGAAAUAGGACGUUCGAUCCUAUUUUGUUGGUUUCUAGGAUUGACGUAAUGAUUAAUAGGGAUAGUUGGGGGCAUUAGUAUUCAAUUGUCAGAGGUGAAAUUCUUGGAUUUAUUGAAGACUAACUACUGCGAAAGCAUUUGCCAAGGAUGUUUUCAUUAAUCAAGAACGAAAGUUAGGGGAUCGAAGACGAUCAGAUACCGUCGUAGUCUUAACCAUAAACUAUGCCGACUAGGGAUCGGAUGAUGUUAAUUUUUUAAUGACUCAUUCGGCGCCUU